Small nucleolar RNA from Nomascus leucogenys (northern white-cheeked gibbon), 103 nucleotides. It matches the Rfam family "Small nucleolar RNA U13". The record is from Rfam. NCBI's taxonomy places the organism in Eukaryota, Metazoa, Chordata, Mammalia, Primates, Hylobatidae.
AUCCUCUUGUAGUUCAUGAGCUGAUAAUUAGUUGUUCACAUACAUGUGUGAGAUGUGCCACCCUGGAACCUUGUUACAACGUUGGCACAUUACCCAUUUGACA